CUACGGGUGGCUGCAGUGAGGAAUAUUGCACAAUGGGGGGAACCCUGAUGCAGCAACGCCGCGUGGAGGAUGACGCAUUUCGGUGUGUAAACUCCUUUUAUAUGUCAAGAAAAUGACGGUAGCAUAUGAAUAAGCACCGGCUAACUCCGUGCCAGCAGCCGCGGUAAUGACGGAGGGUGCAAGCGCUACUCGGAAUCACUGGGCGUAAAGGACGCGUAGGCGGGUUGGAAAGUCAGGUGUGAAAUCCUACAGCUUAACUGUAGAACUGCACUUGAAACUUCUAAUCUAGAGUAUGGGAGGGGGAGAUGGAAUUAGUGGUGUAGGGGUAAAAUCCGUAGAUAUCACUAGGAAUACCUAAAGCGAAGGCGAUCUCCUGGAACAUUACUGACGCUAAGGCGUGAAAGCGUGGGGAGCAAACAGGAUUAGAUACCCGGGUAGUC
RNAcentral lists this ribosomal RNA (440 nucleotides) under uncultured bacterium. RNAcentral describes it as "partial 16S ribosomal RNA". It matches the Rfam family "Bacterial small subunit ribosomal RNA", at positions 339 to 795 of the family's 1533-position model. The record is from RNAcentral.